Molecule: ribosomal RNA, 255 nt
Filed under: uncultured bacterium
Lineage: Bacteria
Description: partial 16S ribosomal RNA
Rfam family: Bacterial small subunit ribosomal RNA
Source: RNAcentral
UACGUAGGGUGCAAGCGUUAUCCGGAAUUAUUGGGCGUAAAGAGCUCGUAGGCGGUUUGUCGCGUCUGCUGUGAAAACUGGAGGCUCAACCUCCAGCCUGCAGUGGGUACGGGCAGACUAGAGUGCGGUAGGGGAGAUUGGAAUUCCUGGUGUAGCGGUGGAAUGCGCAGAUAUCAGGAGGAACACCGAUGGCGGAAGGCAGAUCUCUGGGCCGUAACUGACGCUGAGGAGCGAAAGCAUGGGGGAGCGAACAGG